RNAcentral lists this ribosomal RNA (508 nucleotides) under uncultured bacterium. RNAcentral's name for it is "partial 16S ribosomal RNA". It matches the Rfam family "Bacterial small subunit ribosomal RNA", at positions 28 to 507 of the family's 1533-position model. The record is from RNAcentral.
GACGAACGCUGGCGGCGUGCUUAACACAUGCAAGUCGAACGGGCCUUGUCCCCUUUUUUUUUGGGGGUGGGGUUAGUGGCGAACGGGUGAGUAACACGUGAGUAACCUGCCCCUCACUUCUGGAUAACCGCUUGAAAGGGUGGCUAAUACGGGGUGUUCUGGCCUGCUCGCAUGGGUGGGUUUGGAAAGAUUCGACCGGUUUUGGUUGUUUUGGGGGGGGAUGGGCUCGCGGCCUAUCAGCUUGUUGGUGGGGUGAUGGCCUGCCAAGGCUUUGACGGGUAGCCGGCCUGAGAGGGUGGGCGGUCACACUGGGACUGGGACACGGCCCAGACUCCUACGGGAGGCAGCAGUGGGGAAUAUUGCACAAUGGGCGCAAGCCUGAUGCAGCGACGCCGCGUGAGGGAUGGAGGCCUUCGGGUUGUGAACCUCUUUCGCCAGUGAAGAAGGUCCUGCUCUUUGUGGUGGGGUUGACGGUAGCUGGGUUAAUGAAGCGCCGGCUAACUACGUG